GAUGAACGCUGGCGGCGUGCCUAAUACAUGCAAGUCGAGCGAACAGACGAGGAGCUUGCUCCUCUAACGUUAGCGGCGGACGGGUGAGUAACACGUGGAUAACCCACCUAUAAGACUGGGAUAACUUCGGGAAACCGGAGCUAAUACCGGAUAAUAUAUUGAACCGCAUGGUUCAAUAGUGAAAGACGGUUUUGCUGUCACUUAUAGAUGGAUCCGCGCCGCAUUAGCUAGUUGGUAAGGUAACGGCUUACCAAGGCAACGAUGCGUAGCCGACCUGAGAGGGUGAUCGGCCACACUGGAACUGAGACACGGUCCAGACUCCUACGGGAGGCAGCAGUAGGGAAUCUUCCGCAAUGGGCGAAAGCCUGACGGAGCAACGCCGCGUGAGUGAUGAAGGUCUUCGGAUCGUAAAACUCUGUUAUUAGGGAAGAACAAAUGUGUAAGUAACUAUGCACGUCUUGACGGUACCUAAUCAGAAAGCCACGGCUAACUACGUG
This 497-nucleotide ribosomal RNA is filed under the name uncultured bacterium. RNAcentral describes it as "partial 16S ribosomal RNA". It matches the Rfam family "Bacterial small subunit ribosomal RNA", at positions 28 to 507 of the family's 1533-position model. The record is from RNAcentral.